This 254-nucleotide ribosomal RNA is filed under the name uncultured bacterium. Its description in RNAcentral is "partial 16S ribosomal RNA". It matches the Rfam family "Bacterial small subunit ribosomal RNA", at positions 524 to 776 of the family's 1533-position model. The record is from RNAcentral.
CACGUAGGGCGCAAGCGUUGUCCGGAAUUAUUGGGCGUAAAGAGCUCGUAGGCGGUCUGUUGCGUCCGCUGUGAAAACUCGGGGCUUAACCCCGAGCCUGCAGUGGAUACGGGCAGACUAGAGGUAGGUAGGGGAGAAUGGAAUUCCCGGUGUAGCGGUGAAAUGCGCAGAUAUCGGGGAGGAACACCGGUGGCGAAGGCGGUUCUCUGGGCCUUACCUGACGCUGAGGAGCGAAAGCGUGGGGAGCGAACAGG